This 253-nucleotide ribosomal RNA is filed under the name uncultured bacterium. RNAcentral describes it as "partial 16S ribosomal RNA". It matches the Rfam family "Bacterial small subunit ribosomal RNA", at positions 524 to 776 of the family's 1533-position model. The record is from RNAcentral.
UCCGAAGGGGGCUAUCGUUGUUCGGAAUCACUGGGCGUAAAGCGCACGUAGGCGGAUUGAUAAGUCAGGGGUGAAAGCCCGAGGCUCAACCUCGGAAUUGCCUUUGAUACUGUCAAUCUCGAGUCCGGGAGAGGUGAGUGGAAUUCCUAGUGUAGAGGUGAAAUUCGUAGAUAUUAGGAAGAACACCAGUGGCGAAGGCGGCUCACUGGCCCGGUACUGACGCUGAGGUGCGAAAGCGUGGGGAGAAAACAGG